CAUCCUCUGACAAACAGCCACAAAUAAGGAAUACAGGCGAAGACUGGGUAGACCACAACUGCACGUCCAACUUUGGAUGAGAUCUAACUCUGUGAUAAAUGAUGAAGCAGACUGAUGAACCUGAGAGAAUUGUUUAGCUAGAAGAGCUGCUAUGAGCUUCCAAAGCAGCUGAGACCAGGACCUUAAGGAAUGUCAUGCAGUAGGUGCUAAACUAACUGGCACUGAAAGGAACAGAAAAAGAUGGCAGUUCGUAUUUGAAAUAUUUAAGCACGUGGACUCUCGUUGAUAAGAAAUCAUGUCAAAAAAAGGACGUAGCAAGGGCGAAAAGCCUGAGGCACUGAUUGUUGCCCUGCAGGCUGCCAAUGAGGAACUCAGGACCAAGCUAACAGACAUUCAAAUUGAGCUGCAUCAGGAGAAAUCAAAGGUUGCUAAACUUGAAAGAGAGAAGACUCAAGAAACGAAGCGCAUCCGUGAGGUGGAGCAGCGCAAGCAGACGGUGCAGAUCACAGAGCUGAAAGCCAAACUCCAUGAGGAGAAAAUGAAGGAGCUGCAGGCCGUGAGGGAGAACCUCAUCAAACAGCAUGAGCAGGAGAUGACGCGGAUGGUGAAAGUCCGAGACAGCGAAAUCCAGCGCCUCAAGUCAGCGCUGUGCGCGCUGCGGGACGGGAGCAGCGACAAAGUAAGGACAGCGCUGACUAUUGAGGCUCGUGAAGAGGCCAGAAAACAGUUCGACUCCGAGCGCCUUAAGCUUCUGCAGGAAAUUACUGAACUGAAGUCUGCCAAAAAGCAGGUAGAUGAGGCCCUUAACAAUAUGAUCCAAGCUGAUAAGAUCAAGGCGGGGGAUCUUCGGAGUGAGCACCAGUCCCACCAGGAAGCCAUUUCCAAGAUCAAAUGGGAGAGUGAAAGGGAUAUUCGCCGCCUGAUGGAUGAGAUCAAGGCUAAAGACAGGAUCAUAUUUUCCUUGGAGAAAGAACUGGAGACACAGACAGGCUAUGUGCAGAAGCUGCAGCUGCAGAAGGAAGCUCUGGAUGAACAGCUCUUCUUGGUGAAGGAGGCAGAGUGUAACAUGAGCAGUCCCAAGAGAGAGAUCCCAGGAAGGGCUGGAGAUGGUUCGGAGCACUGCAGCAGCCCUGACUUGCGCAGAAACCAGAAGAGGAUAGCAGAGCUGAAUGCCACAAUCCGGAAGCUGGAAGACAGGAACACGUUGCUCGUUGAUGAACGCAACGAACUGUUGAAGCGUGUCCGAGAAGCUGAGAAACAAUGUAAACCUCUUCUGGAAAAGAACAAGUGCCUCACGAAGAGAAAUGAUGAACUUAUGCAGUCCCUGCAGCGCAUGGAAGAUAAACUCAAAGCAGUCACUAAAGAAAAUAUAGAAAUGAGAGAAAAAAUGACAUCACAUCCUCCUUUAAAGAAAUUAAGAUCUCUCAAUGACCUGGAUCAGGCUAAUGAGGAACAAGAAACUGAAUUCUUAAAGCUUCAGGUCAUAGAACAACAGAACAUAAUCGAUGAGUUAACAAGGGAUAGGGAGAAACUCAUUCGUCGCAGAAAGCAUAAAAGGAGCUCAAAGCCAAUUAAGAGACAUGUAGUGGAUACAGUUUUUGGGUACGAUGAUGAUUCAAUGGAUUCUGAAACAUCUUCUGUGGCCUCAUAUAGAACAGACAGAACACCAGCAACCCCAGAUGAUGAUCUGGAUGAGGGUUUAGCAGCGGAAGAAUCAGAGCUGCGGUUUCGACAGCUGACAAAGGAGUACCAGGCCCUGCAGAGAGCAUAUGCACUACUGCAGGAGCAGACAGGAGGCAUCAUAGAUGCUGAAAGAGAAGCCAAGGCUCAGGAGCAGCUCCAAGCUGAAGUCCAGAGGUAUAAAGCCAAAAUAGAAGAUCUGGAGAAAACUUUGGCACAGAAAGGGCAGGACUCGCACUGGGUAGAAGACAAACAGCUUUUCAUUAAGAGGAACCAAGAGCUUUUAGACAAGAUAGAGAAAAUGGAAGCAGAAAACAACCGUCUGCAACAGGAGCUGCAGGAUGCCCGAGACCAGAAUGAGCUGCUGGAGUUCCGCAACCUUGAGCUGGAGGAAAGAGAGAGACGGUCCCCACCAUUUAAUCUCCAGAUUCACCCAUUCUCAGAUGGUGUCAGUGCUCUACAGAUCUACUGCAUGAAGGAAGGGGUUAAGGAUGUCAGCAUCCCAGACCUCAUAAAGCAGUUAGACAUCCUAGGUGACAAUGGGAAUUUAAGAAAUGAAGAACAAGUGGCCAUAAUUCAGGCUUCCACUGUAUUGUCCUUGGCAGAAAAGUGGAUCCAGCAGAUUGAGGGAGCUGAAGCUGCUCUGCAUCAAAAGAUGAUGGAACUGGAAAGUGAUAUGGAGCAAUUUUGCAAAAUAAAAGGUUAUUUGGAGGAAGAAUUAGACUACAGGAAGCAAGCUCUUGACCAAGCAUACAUGAGGAUCCAGGAGCUUGAAGCCACCUUGUACAAUGCUUUGCAGCAAGAAACGGUGAUAAAGUUUGGGGAACUACUCACUGAAAAACAGCAGGAAGAGCUGAGGACAGCAGUAGAAAAGCUAAGACGUCAGAUGCUGAGGAAAAGCAGAGAAUAUGAUUGCCAGAUUCUUCAGGAGAGGAUGGAACUGCUCCAACAGGCUCAUCAGAGGAUCCGAGAUUUAGAAGAUAAAACUGACAUCCAAAAGAGACAGAUUAAGGAUCUGGAGGAAAAGUUUCUAUUUCUAUUCUUGUUCUUCUCUCUUGCCUUUAUUCUUUGGCCUUGAUGUCAGUGUGCCUCUUGGAAAGAACAGGAAAUCCCUAGUCCCAGAACAAAAAUGUCAGUGUGUGUUUCCUGAGGCGGUGUGCGUGGUUUGGUAUGCCAGCAUAGAAGAGAAGGGAAGAGGAACUGAGAAUUACAGACAUAACAUGGAUGAGUCACUUGGGUUUUCAGGAAUUGCAGGUAUAUACCAGUAUCUUCUGAAAUAAGCAUUUCCCAAAAUACAAGAAAACCCCACACUAUUACUCUGACAUUGGAAUUCCAGUGGUGCUGAUGAACUCUUUGUCUUGGUGUAAGCCAAAAUGUGUUGCUAACAUCUUCUUUUUCAUCUUGCUUUUUUGUCUUGCUAAUCUUUUUUUUUUUUUGAGAAUAAAUUAGGUCAGUGUCAGUGUAGCUUCUGCUAUGUGCAGACAGAACUGAAGGCUGGUGCUGCAAUGAUGCCUGAUUUCUAAAACUCCAAAACGAGUCUCACAGAGUUCCUCUGCCAGCUUUUACGGUAAUGUUGGAGCCUGUGAAAAUAUCUCUGGUGCCCUUUAACAUUUCAGUGUCUUCAUGCUAAGAAAAACCAUGUUUCAGCAGCCUGCCAAUUUGUGUACUCAAAGGCAGACUGAAUAGUUUGUUACAGAGGAGCCAUUCCUUCCCUCUCCUCGCAGCAGGAAGGGGAGAACCGCAGUAUAAAAGGGGAAGAAUCGGGACCAGCAAAAAAAAUACACCACCCCUUCCACAUUUGCUCAUAACACUUAUGGCCUUUUGGUCUAACUUGAGGGCAGAUACUGGCUGGUUAGAAAAGUUAAUGAGGUGUUAAGAAGGUCAGAAUUUUACGUUCCUCCUAAAAUUCUAGCGGAUUUGUUGUUAUUCACCUGCAGUCAUUCUUCUACCCGCACGUGGCUGCUGGGUACCAUCCAGCACAAGCUCUCCGCACUCCUGGCGUGUUCUCUGAGUAGCACCAACAGUCAAAAGAAACGUAAGUGCUUUUCUGAGGCCUUGAGGACUGGCAGGACUGUCACAGCUGCAAUGGAACCACGGCAGCAUCGAGGCUGAUCUCAGUGCCGGGGUUUUACAUCGAUCCUGCAGGGACCAUGGCAAGACUUCCCCUGCCCCUCCAGCCCAAUCUCUUUUAACAGGUUUUCUGCUUGUUUUAAACAGCAUCUAAGGUUUAGCAGGUGUAAAUCUCUUGGAUGUAACUUCACUGAGCUUAGGAAGUGCCAGCAUGAGCAGGGUUUCGCUCGCUGGCAUCGCUGCUCCCAGGAGUCUCUGGGUUGAGCGGCUCGUGUCUCCGCUGCCCCGGAGAGGGCAAAAAGUGUCAGAGCUGGGAUGUGGUCACAGCCCCGGGGAGCCUGCUGGUGUGCUGGGCCACCGGAGAGGAAUGAUUCGUUUGCCUUUCCCAUCCCAUUUUUGCAUAUUUGGCUCUGAAUGUCAGGUAGGGAGCAAGAGGAUGGAUUACUGUGAGUGGGUCAGCAGAGGGGAGUAGCCAUGGCAGUGGUGGAGAGGCUGUGAUAGAGAGAAUGGGCUGUUGACUAUGAAAAUGGAAAAAUCUCACAGGUGAGGUGUGUGUGGGAUAUAUAAACUCGAUGCUUUUCCAGAGGAUCUGCGUUGCUGUGAACUCCCUUGAACUGUAAAGACAGCUGCAGCAGGCCCAGCAUCACAGCAAGCAUGGUAUCUGUAGUGUUUUACCAAGGCAAGUCACUCUACAAGUGCAAAGCAUCAAGUCUUGUAGCAAUUCCUCACAAACAAGGCAAUGAGUGCCCGACCACACAGAUAAGUCCUUAUAAAGGCAAAUGCUUCCAUCCCCCAAUGAAGAGAACAUUGUUUACACCUAUUUUAAAAAGUAUAAAAAGGAACGACCUGUAGCCAAGACUGUAACCACCUUGUAUUUUAAAGCCAUCACUCAAGAUUUGUUACUUGACAGUUCCUGUCUAAAGCUGUGAUAUAUGCUGCAUCUGAUGAAAUUCUAUAUGUUGAAAUUACAACAGGGGAAGAAAAAUAAACUGUGAACCUACAUCACUUAGGAAGAACUUAAAGGGAAGGAACCACUUUCAGCUGAUCAAGUCAGUGAGUCUUGGGCAUGGAACCAAAGUUACAACAGAAAAAAGUCUAUCCCUGCUGUGCAGGGCAGUCGUUUAAAUGUGACACUGUCAUCCCAUGAAUGGAUCAAAAGUGAACAGGACAGAGCAGGAGAAACACAAGCCGUGGAGAGAUGCUGACAACAAAGCAUUUGGUUUGAACUGUCUGGCUUUCUCACUGCAGUGACUCCUCUCCCUCUUUGGUUUUAACCUCAGGAACAAAUGACAGCUGCAAUGUGGGGGAAGAAAGGAAAAACGCUUUCUGGUUUAUCACAGGAUGGGCAGGACAGGGCACCACGUUUUGUGCUUGGGGUCAUAACAAAGCACCACCCUACUCAGCAAAGGAGGGGAAGAGGUGGGGGUCUGGCGUAAGGAGGAUUUCUGACACUUGUAGCCUUAUUUCUCUUUACCCUCCUUCCACGAAGAACAGCCUGUCUGUUGUCAGAUACUUUUCUUACUCUUUGAAGACUGCCAUUGAGAUGAUAGUGACUAUACUUGGGUUUACUAAUUAAAUAAUACACUGAGGAUCACUGGAUUGGACCCACAGAGUAGCUUCUGAGAAAGACAAGAAAUAUGAUGGGGGACAGAGCGGGGAAAAAGCCAACCCCCUUGUCCACGUGGCAUGAUCCACAAAGCAUCAGCUAGCAACUGUUUUGUCCCGGCUUGGAACAAAUGUUUUGGUUUGGCUCGUUAAAAUGACUUGGUUAGCUGGCUUCCUGAUCAAUGACAUAUAAACCAAAAAUGGGGAACACAUCCUUAUUAUAAGUAAGAAGAAGUAUCACUAGUCUGUUUAGCUUUUUCCACAGUUAAGAAUAACUAGAAGUAGUUUGCAUUUCAGGCAUUGCUCCCCUCUGCCCACAAAGCCUGGAACCCAGUCCUGGUGUCUCCCGGAGGCAGCACCGUCCCUGUCCCAGUAGUCGGUGAGAAACGAGCCCUGGGGGGUCUCUGCCCACAGCAAAGGGGCAAAGGGCCGGUGCUGGCCGGAGUGGAGCAGCCAGUGGCCCCCCGGGAGCCGGGCACAGCCAGGGGCUUCUCUGCCUAUUUGCCUUCCCCUGGAAAGGGAGUCGUGCCUGUUCAGAGAUCAGGUGGCAAGGCUCCAUCUCUGAGCUGUGCCUUUCCCUUUCAGUUCAACCCGGAGAAAGGCGUGUCUCAGUUACCUAAUAAAAACCAAGGGCCAGAAUACAGCCCGUGCAUUCCCUGCACCUUCAACACUGGGCUCACAUGUACCAACAUACGCACACAGACUCUGCCCAUCAGAAGCUUUAGAAGUGCUUUACAAAGAGUCUCUCCUCGUUUGCUUGUUUAUUUUUACAGAUGGAGCAACUGAGGCACAAAGCAGUGAAGUAACUUGCCAAGCAACCCCCCAGGUUUCAAAAGCAGUUCCUCAGCCCCGGCAGGGAUGGAGCUCCUCGGUACUGACACACCUGCCCCUCAGAUAGUUUUUGUCCAGAAUAGCUUUCAAGCAUUAAUGUCCUUUCACCCAACUGGAUUGCAGUGCUGGGCUCCAUUUCUCCACAGACUCCUAACACUCUCAUUUCUUGCAUGCCCUGAGAUCGUGUUAAGCCUUCCAUCAAAGGCUAAAAGCUAUUACCAGGUGAUUUUUUUUUUUCCCCCCCUGCUCCUUAGAAUUAACAUCUUGAAGCAGUUUGUUUCAGUCAAGGGGUUUACUGAAUUCUACACCAACUAUCUUUGUUGGUUCAUUUCUUUAAAAACAGGGUUGUGGGCAGGUAUGUUAAAUGAAUACAGGUAUGUUGCAUGCUCUUUGUUCAAAUUCCUUUUCCCCCUCAGCAGAAUCUGUGGAUGAGGUUGGCCCAGACCUGCACGUGCUUUCCAAGAGCACUGGCAGCAGUUCAGUCCUGCCUGCUGCAGAUUGGCCCUUCCAGAGUCUCGCCACACACCUGUGACUCCUUCAGGUCUCUCAGCAAUGUUACAGCAUCUUGUUAGCUACAAAAAGGGGGUUUCCUCUCUGGUUAUUCCCUCUUCCCCCUCUUACUCUUUUUUCUCAUUGCAGCACCAGUUCAUGUCGUACUACUUGAUCGCAGUGUCUUGCAAGUAAAGACAGGCUGGGAACUUUUCCCCAGGAUUUGGGCCAGCAAUUAAAACAUUGAACUGUUUCAGAAGAAUGAACAGCACUUGUGUUCCAUGAUGGUGCAGUAACUUCCUCCCCUGCUUUGGUAUAAGAAAAAGGAGGACUAGAAACUGUUGUUUCAGAUAAUCAUAGGGGAAGGUUCACAGCACAGAUAGAAAUAUCUCGUGUCAGAUCAUACCUGACUGACCUGUGGCAGGCUUCAUCAUUUAGGCCCUCUGAGCCGCCUUGUGCACAUCUUACUUCAUUACUCUUUUUUGCCUAACUUCCCCUCCCUUGCUCGCAUGUGUACAUAUGCACGCAGGUGCUCCUCCAAGGGCUUAGGGUGGGGCAGGGGAUGGUAGACAGUCUGCAGCUUGUCUUGGUCUGCAAACUUGUAAGAGAUUGCUGCCCUCCCUCCAGAGCUGAGGGGCGGCUGCUCCGCUCCCCUUGCAGCACAGCACAAGCCACGACUGAAACACUUGCUAAGGAGAGUAGUACAACUUUCGGCCAUCAGCUGGAUCGAGUUUGAUGUUUGUAUAUAUAUAUACAUGUAUCUAUAUAUAGUAUAUAUGUAUAUGUACAUAUAUAUGCAUAUAUCUAUUCCAUAUUGUAUAUAGUGAAUCGUUGCUAGAGCUUAUGAAAGUGUACUUCCAAUCUAGGUAUGGGGAACUGAAUCUAGACUUGUUUAGCUGCCACAGCCGCUCCACUCCUCAUGGUUUAGUUUUACAUCUCAUGGGCAACUAGUUUUUGGGUCUGUUUCUCUGGGGUCUCCCCCCCUUCUCUGUCCUGAAGUCGUUUAUCUAGGGCUUUCUGCUCUUCCUGACAUGCCCUGAGGCAAAGUAUGGAGAAUCCUCCCUCAAAUUAGUCACUGCAGCCAACAUCCCCUCUCCCAAACCGACCAGCAAA
Athene cunicularia (burrowing owl) is the source of this 7788-nucleotide RNA transcript. It is a transcript of the gene named janus kinase and microtubule interacting protein 2, with no coding region annotated. Lineage: Eukaryota; Metazoa; Chordata; Aves; Strigiformes; Strigidae. The record is from RefSeq and is a predicted model, not a curated record. The transcript has 23 exons.